AGUGAACGCUGGCGGUAGGCCUAACACAUGCAAGUCGAACGGCAGCACAGUAAGAGCUUGCUCUUACGGGUGGCGAGUGGCGGACGGGUGAGGAAUACAUCGGAAUCUACUUUUUCGUGGGGGAUAACGUAGGGAAACUUACGCUAAUACCGCAUACGACCUACGGGUGAAAGCAGGGGAUCUUCGGACCUUGCGCGAUUGAAUGAGCCGAUGUCGGAUUAGCUAGUUGGCGGGGUAACGGCCCACCAAGGCAACGAUCCGUAGCUGGUCUGAGAGGAUGAGCGGCCACACGGGAACUGAGACGAGGUCCAGACUCCUACGGGAGGCAGCCGUAGGGAAUCGUCCGCAAUGGGCGAAAGCUUGACGGAGCAAUGCGGCGGGAGUGAUGAAGAGCUUCGGAUCGUAAAGCUCUGUUAUUAGGGAAGAAAAAAUGUGUAAGGAACUAUGCACGUCUUGACGGUACCUAAUCAGAAAGACACGGCUAAUUACGUG
This 492-nucleotide ribosomal RNA is filed under the name uncultured bacterium. RNAcentral's name for it is "partial 16S ribosomal RNA". It matches the Rfam family "Bacterial small subunit ribosomal RNA", at positions 29 to 507 of the family's 1533-position model. The record is from RNAcentral.